Molecule: ribosomal RNA, 1560 nt
Filed under: metagenome
Description: SSU rRNA
Rfam family: Eukaryotic small subunit ribosomal RNA
Source: RNAcentral
UGUUGGUGAUUCAUAGUAACCUAUUCGAAUCGCUUGUUCGCAAGCGAUGGUUCAUUCAAAUUUCUGCCCUAUCAGCUUUUGAUGGUAGUGUCGUGGACUACCAUGGCUUUAACGGGUGACGGGGGAUCAGGGUUCGAUUCCGGAGAAGGGGCCUGAGAAACGGCCACUACAUCCAAGGAAGGCAGCAGGCGCGCAAAUUGCCCAAUCCUGACCCAGGGAGGCAGUGACAAGAAAUCCUGAUGCUGAGCGCCUUUCGGUGUUUAGCAAUCGGAAUGAGAGGUAGUUAAAUCUAGCUAUCGAAUGCAACUGGAGGGCAAGUCUGGUGCCAGCAGCCGCGGUAAUUCCAGCUCCAGUAGCGUAUAUUAAAAUUGUUGCAGUUAGAAAGCUCGUAGUUGGAUUUUUGUUGCUCCUUGUGCGAGGCUCCGCGCUGGUUUUGCUGGUGUGUGGGUUUUGCCGGACAACAUUCACGCCCAUGUCGCGUAGCAAUACGUGGGAUGGGCACAUUACUUUGAGAAAAUUAGAGUGUUUCAAGCGGGCGUUUGCCUUGAAUACUACAGCAUGGAAUAAGACCAACGAGCUUUCGUCCUUUUGGUGGGUUCCGGACCAAGUCAUGAUUGAUAGGGAUGGUUGGGGGUGCUAGAAUUCCGAGGCCAGAGGUGAAAUUCUUGGAUUCUCGGAAGUCUAACUAGUGCGAAAGCAUUCACCAAGGACAUUUUCUUUAAUCAAGAACGAAAGUUGGGGGAUCGAAGACGAUCAGAUACCGUCGUAGCCUCAACCAUAAACGAUGCCAACUGGGGAUUCGUUUACGUCUCAGCCGAUCUGGGUAAAACCGUUCGGCUAUCGACCAAAUGAGCACCCUGUGAGAAAUCAAAGUUUUCAGGUUCCGGGGGGAGUAUGGUCGCAAGGCUGAAACUUAAAGGAAUUGACGGAAGGGCACCACCAGGAUUGGAGCCUGCGGCUUAAUUUGACCCAACACGGGAAAACUUACCAGGUCCAGACAUAGUGAGGAUUGACAGAUUGAAGCUCUUUCUUGAUUCUAUGGGUGGUGGUGCAUGGCCGUUCUUAGUUGGUGGUGUGGAUCGUCUGGUUAAUUCCGUUAACGAACGAGACCUCGGCCCUGUUUUUUUAACUAGUAUGCGUUGGCUUCAGCCAGUCGUCAUGCUUCUUAGGGGGACUAUCGUCGUUCAGGCGGUGGAAGAUCGAGGCAAUAACAGGUCAGUAAUGCCCUUCGAUGUCUUGGGCCGCACGCGCGCUACACUGGUUUGUUCAAUGUGCUCUACGUCUCACGCAAGUGAGGCCGCCUUUCUCGAGAGGGAUGGGGAAUCAUUUAAAGCAAACCGUGCUGGGGAUAGAUCAUUGCAAUUAUUGGUCUUGAACGAGGAAUUCCUAGUAAGCGCACGUCAUCAGCGUGCAUUGAUUUCGUACCUGCCCUUUGUACACACCGCCAGUCGCUACUACCGAUUGAAGGCUCAAGUGAGCUGUAGGGAGAUCUGCCUCUCGGGGUGGGUAGAACUACAUCAAACUUGACUCUUUAGAGGAAGUAUAAGUCGUAACACGGUU